Molecule: long non-coding RNA, 287 nt
Filed under: Nicotiana benthamiana
Lineage: Eukaryota; Viridiplantae; Streptophyta; Magnoliopsida; Solanales; Solanaceae
Description: long non-coding RNA (NBEN_LNC025465)
Source: RNAcentral
CGGAAACGUCAUAGAACUUACUCGAAUGGUCAGAGGUAGCCAUAAACAGGCAUGAAGGACCAUGGGUAGGAGUUGAACCACUCCAGGUUCACAUAAGGACUCAAGGUAGUGUCAAACCGGCGUGGGGUGAAGCAGAUAACAGGAGAUGAUGAGAGGCCAUGGUUUCUAGCAAGGGAGGUGGCCGGAGAAAGUGGACAGGGUCCGUCGGAGAGGAGGGGAGAAGAGAAGGUUCUAUAGAAAACCAGAGAUAGAGAGACGGAUAUAGAGAGAUCAGUUGAGAGAGAAUG